AGGGCACCACCAGGAGUGGAGCCUGCGGCUUAAUUUGACUCAACACGGGAAAUCUCACCAGGCCCGGACACUGGAAGGAUUGACAGAUUGAGAGCUCUUUCUCGAUUCGGUGGGUGGUGGUGCAUGGCCGUUCUUAGUUGGUGGAGUGAUUUGUCUGGUUAAUUCCGAUAACGAACGAGACUCUGUCCUGCUAAAUAGUUCCCGCGUCCUUUGUUGCGCGGGAAAUUCUUCUUAGAGGGACAAGCGGCGCUCAGCCGCACGAAAUUGAGCAAUAACAGGUCUGUGAUGCCCUUAGAUGUCCGGGGCCGCACGCGCGCUACACUGAAGGGAUCAGCGUGUGAUUGCCCCCGCCCGGAAGGGCAGGGUAAUCCGCUGAACCUCCUUCGUGAUAGGGACUGGGGCUUGGAAUUGUUGCCCACAAACGAGGAAUUCCCAGUAAGCGCUAGUCAUAAGCUAGCGUUGAUUACGUCCCUGCCCUUUGUACACACCGCCCGUCGCUACUACCGAUUGAAUGAUUUA
This 519-nucleotide ribosomal RNA is filed under the name uncultured eukaryote. RNAcentral's name for it is "bacterial SSU rRNA". It matches the Rfam family "Eukaryotic small subunit ribosomal RNA", at positions 1161 to 1700 of the family's 1831-position model. The record is from RNAcentral.